This is a non-coding RNA of Cinara cedri, 485 nucleotides long. The record is from the annotation of a GenBank genome assembly. Lineage: Eukaryota; Metazoa; Arthropoda; Insecta; Hemiptera; Aphididae.
UUUUCAACUUGUCCUCCAUUUAUUAUCAGAAUACAUAUGUACUCUACCCAGCUAUAGCAGCUCAAUAAUUGACCAACAAUAGCAUUAAUGACUAUUCUUUUUAAUAUAAGUGCUGCUUGAUAUGAACAAAACUGCCAAUAGAUAAAUUAAAUUCCACAUUGCCAAAGAAAUACCCAGAAUAUAAUGCGGUUUAUCACAAGAUGGAGAAUAAUUAGGAUUCAAUAGAUUAUUCUUUAGUUCUUCCAUAGUAACAUUGUUGCUUAUCUGUUCUGUACACCCUACGAUAUCAUGGAACCAAUGAAGUUCAAGGCCAAUGUGGUAGAAAGAUAUAAUUGUACCUAUUAUAUAACUACAAAACAUCAUAUAAAUCAGAAUUUUAUUGUGCUUAAGUAGACAUACUACUGCAAGCAAUGCUGCAGCAUAAAAAACUACGCGUUCGUAUAUACAUAACUUACAUGGCAACAUGUUAAAAAAAUAUUGCAGUA